Molecule: ribosomal RNA, 500 nt
Filed under: uncultured bacterium
Lineage: Bacteria
Description: partial 16S ribosomal RNA
Rfam family: Bacterial small subunit ribosomal RNA
Source: RNAcentral
AUUGAACGCUGGCGGCAGGCUUAACACAUGCAAGUCGAGCGGGGUGAUGGUGCUUGCACUAUCACUUAGCGGCGGACGGGUGAGUAAUGCUUAGGAAUCUGCCUAUUAGUGGGGACAACAUCUCGAAAGGGAUGCUAAUACCGCAUACGUCCUACGGGAGAAAGCAGGGGAUCACUUGUGACCUUGCGCUAAUAGAUGAGCCUAAGUCGGAUUAGCUAGUUGGUGGGGUAAAGGCCGACCAAGGCGACGAUCUGUAGCGGGUCUGAGAGGAUGAUCCGCCACACUGGGACUGAGACACGGCCCAGACUCCUACGGGAGGCAGCAGUGGGGAAUAUUGGACAAUGGGGGGAACCCUGAUCCAGCCAUGCCGCGUGUGAAGAAGGCCUUAUGGUUGUAAAGCACUUUAAGCGAGGAGGAGGCUCUUUUGGUUAAUACCCAAGAUGAGUGGACGUUACUCGCAGAAUAAGCACCGGCUAACUCUGUGCCAGCAGCCGCAGUAA